AUGUAGGACUCAGAUGACUUAUGGCACAUCUAGAUGUGCUUUAGCAAAACUAUAUUUUUCAGGUAAAUCUCUAUUUCUAAUGUUUGAGUUGAUGAAUAGUAUCCAUAGUUUAUUUUCGUCCCAUCAUUUUCUUUUGUUUUAUUUCACUGUUUUUUUCUCGUCUCCGCUGCCCCCGUACAAACGCAUAAAAAAACUCCAUCACUGCAGAAAAUCCGCUCCUCUCGAUCCCAUCCCAGGGAUCGAAGUCCCUCCUUCGAUGCCGCGAUCUACGAUCUCUCUGCCGCCGACUCUUCCGACCCUUGCCGCCGACGCUUCAUUGCCGCGGCCCACGUACAAAGUCGUUCGUUGCCGCCGCCGCCGUCCAAGGGGAGACGCCGUCGUCGCGUCUCCAGGGCAGGGCGGUUUGAAUCCCUGCCGCCGACGUACGGGAUCGCCGCCGCCGAACUCCGGGAGACGUCGUUGCCGCCCGUCCGAGGGAAGAAGCCGCCGCGGCGGCGGUUUCAAUCCCAAGUAUGCUGAAGAGAUCUGGCUGCCAAAUAAUCUCACCGCCGAACUCCAUUCAGUCUACACAUGUGUUUCUGUACCAUUCGCCCGCCACUGAGGUACGAGAUUGUCGCCGCCGACAUCCGAGAGGAGCCUCCGCCGGACCUCAUCACGGUGUCGUUCGCCGCCGCGGAGGUAUGAGAGGAGCCGAUGCCGCCUUCAUUGCGGACCUCAUCAUGAAGCCAUUCGCCGCCGCCGAGGUACGAGAUCGCCACUGCACGAGAGCACAUCAACUAGCCCAGGCUCCUGCUGCUCCAUCCCUCGAUCCCGCGUCGCUCGCCUUCCGUUCAACGUAGGUUGCGGCCUCUCCUCAUGGAUUCUCCUCCUCUGUUCGCCCCCUCGUGUCUCCUCACGUGAGUGCUUCUGUUGGUGAUGGUUGCGGGUCGUCGAGCUGCGGUGGGCUGGUGCUGCUUAUGGUAUCCCACUAUCCUGUGCCUCUCGCCCUGUGCUUCAUGAGCGGAGGAGGGGUGGUGCUGGCCGUGGACUAGCUGGAUAGCAUAAACUCUCCCUUGUUUUUUUGUGUUUGAAUCAGAUUUGGUGGCUCUCAAUUUUACAUAUGUAUUGAUCUUGGACUUGUUUUGUAUGCAGGGUACACUUGAUGUUUCAUGAUCUGUUCUGCAGAUUUUCAGAACAAUGAGUGCAUAUCUUGGCUUGCAAUGUUGUUGAUUCGACAAAUGUCAUGGAACCUGACAGGUGAGUGCUCCUCUCCCCUUUUCCUCUCUGCUAAAAUUCAGUUCCAAGUUCGCCCAUAUGGAUAUCUUGAUUGAAAUUUGCAGCUCGUUUCUGUCGGACUCGAUGACCGCAUAUGAGCGAACUUGUCCUUCAGAAAUAGUAGGUGAUACUUAUUAUGAUUCAAGAUAUCACCACAUAGACGGCACAGACUAUAAUCAUGAAUAUUUCCCAUUGGCUUCAACGAUUUGGAAGAAUAUUUUUGACAUGAUCUGACGGUUGAUACUUUGGUUCAGGAACUGGCUUUAGACUGGACUUGCGGCUAGAGUAACCCCGAGCAAGCUGAGCUCAAUUGAAAUAUGUAUUCUAAAUUCUGAAGGCAAGCACACGCCCGACACUUUUGCACUUGUAAAAGGCAUGUCGUUUGAAUCAUGCGAAUAAGCGUACGGAUAGUACAAGCUAUUCACUUGGGAGAAUAGUUUCAGAAUUUGUCAUGGAAAACCAAGAUGGGGAGGUGCACAUCACCAGUUGAUGCACAAAAUCGUGUGCUGGUGCCAGGGUAAGAGGGAAAAAGAGAAUUUUUUUUUCGUGCAAAACAGAGUGCAAGGCAAGGAUGCGUCUCCUCCGCACGGCAGAUCAUGGUUGAUAGGUGAGCAUAUUCAGCAACGAGCAUAAUCACCCCUUGUGUGCAAGUCGUGAAGAGACCAGGCAGUGGAACUCACAUAGUGAGGUCAAUCCAGUUCUUAUGAAUUUCAUCAAGAAUCUCAAAAAACGAAGAAAAAACAAUGGGGGCAUCCUCACGAGAUUGAAGGCUACAAAAUUUAUACAAGCGCAAUAUAGAAAAAGUUUGAAGAUGAGUUUUACAAAUCAAUGUCCUUGGUUUUGUGUAGGUGCAUCAGUGAAACUGAAUAUGAAGUUAUGCAUGUGUGCCAAAUAUUUGACCAAACUUGAAGCUAGGCCCUACAUAACAAGUUUAAAGGAUCAUGCAAUUGUGGAUAUUUAGAUCAUAUGGGAAUGUUUAUGCCGACAUUCUAUAAAGGUGAUUGGCAUCUACUAUAAGUCGAUAAAUGAUGCUUUGUUGGUUGCUGCACAACGACAAGAUGAUCGCAUCCCAGCUACUUUGUAUGUAUAAGAUUUGCUACUUCUUGGUCAAUGUUGAUGAGAUGAACUGCUAACUAAGUGUGUUGCCACGGGCCGUUCCAUGCCGAAGGCUGCAACGCCAUGUUUCUUUAUGCUUGUAUCAUGUGCAUCCACAACUCGUAACACUGGUUGUUUCAGGCCCUAAAUAAGCACAUACACUUCAAAAAUUGUCAUGGACUCAUGGCCGUGGACUUAAAAGUGUUUUUGCCAUGUCUGGUAGCUAGGAGGAAUUACAUCAAAGAGCUCGUUAUUUUGCUUUCACGUAUAUGUUAACCAGGUCAUAUCACAAUGACCAUCAAGUCUCAAGUUCAAGCUAUUUGAUUUAGAUUGUGCCAUGCAUAAGUGAAUAUUGUUUUGCAUAGGAAAAUAAGAUUGUAAAUGUAUAUUAUUUGCCUCCAUCAAAUUUAUGAAAUGACAAUCCUUUAUUCGGAAGAACAAGUGAAUACAUAGAUCAAAACAUCUUAAAAUUGGUGACAAAUUAGCGGUUGUUUCCUUUUAUUUAUUGCCUUAUUUCUGGUAUAUGUACCUUCAUUGUGAAAUAUAACAUGACGUACCUUGUCAUUAACUUUCUUUAAUGGGAACUACUUAUAUUUGAUAUUCAUCAUAAACAAAUUCUGAAGGUACUGAAAUCUGUGUACUGAAUUUUGAUUGUGAGUUGGAUGUGUCCUUGAUUGCAGUGAUGGGAUUUGAUUCGAUAAGUGAAGAUAGUGGGUGGAGGAAUAAGAAGAAAAGUCAUUUAAUGAUAUAAUUGAGAAGCUAACAAAGCGGGUUGAUAUACACUAGGAUCCUAAUUUACAUGUUUGACGUAGUUAGUCAACCCGUGUCACUGCCAUAGGUAUAGGGAAAAGACGAUCUAGGAGGUGGCAUCAAGUAAGUGAGUUAGGAAGUAACUAUCAUGUAGGUUGUAUGCAUAACAAAAGGCUGAAUAGGUUAGUAGAUUUGUGUAUGAAAAUAUGAGUAGCACUGUGUGGUGCUUAGACUUCUGAAUUUCUUAAAAAAAAAUUGUCUCUACUUCGUAUAAUGUGCUAUGUUAAUGUAGCUACAGCAUCACAGAAACAUUCUAGCUGCCUCGAAGGAUUUAUAAAUCAUGUCUAAUGAGCCUGACUUGCGCUUACUUUGUCAUGAUUAAAUUUAUUAUUCUUUGUUUAACUUUUAUAUGUGUAAGUAAUAGCUGACAAUUUAAUAGUAGAUAUGUGACCAGCCCAGAGAAGAAUGUGGACUGCUAACAACUGUGCAUUAAACAAGCAUGAAGAAUGGAUGGCAUUUUCAUGUAACAUAACCGAGUAUCAAUUUUAGCUUGAAAGUAUAUGCCAACUCCUGGAGUUUCAAAUGACUUGAAAGAAUGCGAGAAGCGAGUGUAUAGGAGGACCUUGAACAUUAGAGCAGUGGGGGAGGAGCAAAUGACUACAGGGUCUAUCGGCAUGGGUAAAAAACGAGGACAACUCCAUGACGUGGGAAACCUAUAUUUGAUUGACAUGACAGUAGCAAGGUGAAUAGCUAUGUAAUAUCUUUCCAUUAGUUGAUCCAUUUGAUCUGUUUGAAACAAUUGGCAGUUACCUAUAUUUGGAUAGAAAAGUUAUUUGUUAACUUUGUAUCAUUUUUAUGUGUAAGAAUAUGAUGCUAAUAAUAUUUA
Molecule: long non-coding RNA, 3985 nt
Organism: Triticum aestivum (bread wheat)
Lineage: Eukaryota; Viridiplantae; Streptophyta; Magnoliopsida; Poales; Poaceae
Exons: 3
Source: RefSeq, a predicted model, not a curated record